Molecule: ribosomal RNA, 525 nt
Filed under: Dichelops leucostigmus
Lineage: Eukaryota; Metazoa; Arthropoda; Insecta; Hemiptera; Pentatomidae
Description: eukaryotic LSU rRNA
Rfam family: Eukaryotic large subunit ribosomal RNA
Source: RNAcentral
UUGAAGCACGGACCAAGGAGUCUAGCGUGUGCGCGAGUCAUUGGGUGUAAAACCUAAAGGCGCAAUGAAAGUGUCAGGGGUGCCUCCUUUAGGAGCGCAUCCCGUCGGGAGGAUGGGCCGCCGUACGAUCACUCGUCGGAGCCCCGCACUCCCGGGGCGUCUCGUUCUCAUCACGAGUGGAGACGCACCAGGAGCGCACACGCUGGUACCCGAAAGAUGGUGAACUAUGCCUGGCCAGGACGAAGCCAGGGGAAACCCUGGUGGAGGUCCGAAGCGAUUCUGACGUGCAAAUCGAUCGUCUGAGCUGGGUAUAGGGGCGAAAGACCAAUCGAACCAUCUAGUAGCUGGUUCCCUCUGAAGUUUCCCUCAGGAUAGCUGGCUCUCGGGAAGAGACGAGUCUCAUCCGGUAGAGCGAAUGAUUAGAGGUGAUGGGGUCGAAACGACUUCAACCUAUUCUCAAACUCCCAAUAGAUGAGAGCCCCGGCUUGCUUAAAAGUGAAGCCGCGGGACUCGGAUCAGAGAUGC